UGGGUUAGGAUUAGGAGUAGGGUUAGGGCUGGGUUAGGAGUAGGGUUAGGAGUAGGGUUGGGUUAGGGUUAGGAGUAGGGUUAAAGUUGGCUAACCCUACUCUUAACCCAACCCUAACCCUACUCCUUACCCAACCAUACCCUACCCUAGCCCAACCCUUUCCCUACUCCUAACCCUACUGCUAACCUAACCCUAACACUACUCCUAACCUUUUCCUUAGCCCUA
Molecule: non-coding RNA, 225 nt
Organism: Pelobates cultripes (western spadefoot toad)
Lineage: Eukaryota; Metazoa; Chordata; Amphibia; Anura; Pelobatidae
Source: the annotation of a GenBank genome assembly